CAUAACGACUCUCGGCAACGGAUAUCUCGGCUCUCGCAUCGAUGAAGAACGUAGCGAAAUGCGAUACUUGGUGUGAAUUGCAGAAUCCCGUGAACCAUCGAGUCUUUGAACGCAAGUUGCGCCCGAAGCUGUUAGGCUGAGGGCACGCCUGCCUGGGUGUCGCA
Molecule: ribosomal RNA, 164 nt
Filed under: Poecilanthe subcordata
Lineage: Eukaryota; Viridiplantae; Streptophyta; Magnoliopsida; Fabales; Fabaceae
Description: 5.8S ribosomal RNA
Rfam family: 5.8S ribosomal RNA
About the family: 5.8S ribosomal RNA (5.8S rRNA) is a component of the large subunit of the eukaryotic ribosome.
Source: RNAcentral